Zeugodacus cucurbitae (melon fly) is the source of this 781-nucleotide long non-coding RNA. RefSeq lists it as uncharacterized. The transcript is spliced from 2 exons. Lineage: Eukaryota; Metazoa; Arthropoda; Insecta; Diptera; Tephritidae. The record is from RefSeq and is a predicted model, not a curated record.
ACUUCAUAAACGCAGUUUGCAAUGCAACACUGCAAACAGAUGCGAUACCGAUGCAAAGCAACACUGCAUGGUAACACUGAUUUGUCAAAUAAUGCAAUGACAUUUAUUAACGUUUGUGAACGCAAUAUUGCUUUGUCGUGUUUCUUUGUAUGGUAAAAAUGAAUCUUGACCAAUUGUGCACUUUUGUUUUUGAAAACGCCCUAGAAUUUGGCGAAAAAAGAAAUUCAAGUAACGUGGUGUUCAUUAAAAAAAUAUUAAAUAAGCGAAAGCGCCGGCGUGUUUUUUUAACCGGUUGUGGCCCAAAAAGGAAAAUUCCAAAAACGUCCAACUUCUGCAAAACGAUAAAAUGUAUGCAGGAUGACGUUUUUUAUGCUCAUUUUCGUAUGAAAAAGAGCACAUUCAAGAAUUUGCAGACCAUGUUAAUGCCGUGGUGGACUCCGCGCACAACUGGACGAAUUGGAAUUUCUUUGGAAAAGGUCUUGCAAAUUGCAAUUUGGAAGCUGAGCAAUAAUUGUUCUUUUAGAGAUGUCAGCGAUCGUUUUGGAGUAGCUGUUGGUCUCGCAUAUAAAGUCUUUGUAAAAAUAAUAAAGAUGAUCUGCCGUUUAAAGAAAGACGUCAUCAAAUUUCCAAGAAGUGAAGCUGAACAAAAGCAAACCAGCGAAGCAUUUUCAACUCUACGUUUCAAUCCUUUUCCUUUUGUACUCGGGUGCGUCGAUGGUACACAUAUUCCCAUUUCGCAGCCAAUCAGAGAUGAAAUCAGUUACCGGAAUCGAAAGGGGAC